AACAGAAGAAAUCAGAGGUUUUGAGGCGAACCUUUUUAGUAGUGGAAUUCUGACCAUCCUGCUGAGGUUAGUCAAGUCUUGUUUCCAGUCCAUCUGGACUUCGAGGAGCCCUUCAAAGUAAGAUAAACGUAUCUGCGGACUUCAGUGAAAACAACGGGAAUCACACAAUUUGUCAGAAAAGAGACAGUGUUUCAAGAACAGCAUCACAUGUAAAGGCUGAUGGAGAUAAACAGUUUAAGUGCAUUCCACUGGGACAAAAAUGAAAUCACUACUAUCGGGGGGGAACAAUGACAGUUCAAUUUUACCAGAAAUUGUCUUGAAAACCGCAAGUGACAUGGACAGACUGAGUUCUGAGUUGUUCCAGAAACUUCUUCCAUCAACAACCUUGAUCUCGCUUUUAAACUGCGUGGGAGUUCUCGGCAACCUCUUCGUCUUCCUCGUGUACCUCAGGAAG
Molecule: long non-coding RNA, 454 nt
Organism: Pomacea canaliculata
Lineage: Eukaryota; Metazoa; Mollusca; Gastropoda; Architaenioglossa; Ampullariidae
Exons: 3
Source: RefSeq, a predicted model, not a curated record